GACGAACGCUGGCGGCGUGCUUAACACAUGCAAGUCGAACGCUGAAGCUCAGCUUUUGUUGGGUGGAUGAGUGGCGAACGGGUGAGUAACACGUGAGUAACCUGCCUCCUUCUUUGGGAUAACGCCCGGAAACGGGUGCUAAUACUGGAUAUUCACUGGUCUUCGCAUGGGGGUUGGUGGAAAGGGUUUUUCUGGUGGGGGAUGGGCUCGCGGCCUAUCAGCUUGUUGGUGGGGUGAUGGCCUACCAAGGCUUUGACGGGUAGCCGGCCUGAGAGGGUGACCGGUCACAUUGGGACUGAGAUACGGCCCAGACUCCUACGGGAGGCAGCAGUGGGGAAUAUUGCACAAUGGGCGCAAGCCUGAUGCAGCGACGCCGUGUGAGGGAUGGAGGCCUUCGGGUUGUGAACCUCUUUCGCUCAUGGUCAAGCCGCAACAAUGGUUGUGGUGAGGGUAGUGGGUAAAGAAGCGCCGGCUAACUACGUG
Molecule: ribosomal RNA, 483 nt
Filed under: uncultured bacterium
Lineage: Bacteria
Description: partial 16S ribosomal RNA
Rfam family: Bacterial small subunit ribosomal RNA
Source: RNAcentral